Molecule: long non-coding RNA, 430 nt
Organism: Nicotiana attenuata
Lineage: Eukaryota; Viridiplantae; Streptophyta; Magnoliopsida; Solanales; Solanaceae
Exons: 3
Source: RefSeq, a predicted model, not a curated record
UUUUGAUAUUGUUGUGACAUUUAUUAUAAUAUUCCUGCUUUGCUAGUCCCUUUCAGUAGCGUAAUAUCAGGAGUUAGGAUCCUUGAUGUCAUCAGAUGAUUCAGAUCUUUUUUAUUUUAGGUAAUUCAGAAGCAAAAAAGAUUUGCGGGACUACUUUACUGAAAGAUAUUUGGAAACUUUCACCGGAGAAGGGAGUUGAUGUGCCGUUUAAUAAAUGCAUCAACUCCACCUCAGGUGAAUAGAUCCCUGACGCUAACAUUGGACAUGAACGAGUAUCACAAACAUCAAGGAUACCUAGUGUUACUGAAAAUGCUCAACUUUCUCACAGUCAUACAGUCUAAUGUUCGAUAAUUUAGCGGGUGGAAGAUUUCAAAAUGAUGAAAAAUUGCGGAAAUCAUUUGAAGACCAUCAUACUUUGGAUUAGUUAUAU